UCCAACGUAGCUCAGUGGUAGAGCAAUCGGCUGUUAACCGAUAGGUCGCAGGUUCGAAUCCUGCCGUUGGAG
RNAcentral lists this transfer RNA (72 nucleotides) under Pontibacillus halophilus JSM 076056 = DSM 19796. It matches the Rfam family "tRNA". Rfam says of the family: Transfer RNA (tRNA) molecules are approximately 80 nucleotides in length. Lineage: Bacteria; Bacillati; Bacillota; Bacilli; Caryophanales; Bacillaceae. The record is from Rfam by way of RNAcentral.